Molecule: ribosomal RNA, 425 nt
Filed under: uncultured bacterium
Lineage: Bacteria
Description: partial 16S ribosomal RNA
Rfam family: Bacterial small subunit ribosomal RNA
Source: RNAcentral
GUGGGGAAUAUUGGACAAUGGGCGAAAGCCUGAUCCAGCAAUGCCGCGUGAGUGAUGAAGGCCUUAGGGUUGUAAAGCUCUUUUACCAGGGAUGAUAAUGACAGUACCUGGAGAAUAAGCUCCGGCUAACUCCGUGCCAGCAGCCGCGGUAAUACGGAGGGAGCUAGCGUUGUUCGGAAUUACUGGGCGUAAAGCGCACGUAGGCGGCUACUCAAGUCAGAGGUGAAAGCCCGGGGCUCAACCCCGGAACUGCCUUUGAAACUAGGUAGCUAGAAUCUUGGAGAGGUCAGUGGAAUUCCGAGUGUAGAGGUGAAAUUCGUAGAUAUUCGGAGGAACACCAGUGGCGAAGGCGGCUCACUGGCUCGAUACUGACGCUGAGGUGCGAAAGCGUGGGGAGCAAACAGGAUUAGAAACCCUGGUAGUCC